This 1482-nucleotide long non-coding RNA is filed under the name Canis lupus familiaris (dog). RNAcentral describes it as "lncRNA (ENSCAFG00040005553.1)". The record is from RNAcentral. Lineage: Eukaryota; Metazoa; Chordata; Mammalia; Carnivora; Canidae.
AUGAGGCGCUCCCCUCUCCUCCGGGAGGCGGGGCUGCCCCUGCCCCCCCCCCCCCCCCCCCGCCUCCACCCCGAGGCCCGCGGGAGCCCGAGUCCUGAGCCUCGGCCGGGGAGCGGGGCCUUCCAGGGCGAUCGCAGUGGGGGAGGGGGGGUGAGGCCCGAGGGGCCGGGCCCGGGGCGUGUGAAGUGGGGCGCCAGGGCGGGGGUGGGGCGCCCGCGGCCGGACGGGGAGGCUGCGUCCUCAGGUCGCCCUGACGCCCUACGACCUUUCCGCCCCAGCGUCCGGCCUCCGGGGAGACCGCGUCCAUCUGUCCUUCCCGGCGUGUGGUCCUCGGUCCCCCCGCCCCCUCCGCGCCCCUCCCCCCAGCUCCCCGCGGGAGGCCGAGCGGGCGGCGGGGCCGGCGCGCACCGGCUCGGGGCCGGUAAACACCCCGCGGGAGGCGCGGGCGGGGGGGCGGCGGCGGAGGCGCCCGGAGGCCGCCGGGCCGGGGCGGGGCUCGCGGGGGGCCCCGGGCGCGGGCGGGCGGGCGGGCGGCGGGGGCCGGGGCGGGGGCGGGGGCGGGGGCAGGAAGCGAGCGGCGGCCCGGCCGGCCCGCGCGGCCCCGUGACGUCGCGCGGCUUCCAGGGAUCUCUCCCCGCGGCCCGGGUCCCCUCGUCCCCGCCCUCCGCCCGCCCCCUCCCCGAGCCCGCCGCGCCGCGCCGCGCCUCGCCUCCGCGCCGCGGCCGGCAUUUGUCGCUCGCAGCUCGCUCGCGGGCCGGCUCCUGCGUGCAGACCCCCCCGCGCUCCAGCCCCCGCCCCGCCCCGCCCCGCCCCUCUCCCCGCCGGCCCCGGCCCGCUGCGCUCCGCUCCUCCCCCGGCCGCGGCGCGCCGGCCCCGCCGCCGCCUCCCCCUUCUCCCCGGCCUCCCCUCCGUCUCUCCCUGCCGGUCCCCCUGCCUCCCUCUGCCUUUCUCCUCCGCGCGUCUCCCCGGCUCCCUCCCGGUUCCGCGCUCCCCUCCCUCCCUCCCUCCCUCCGGGCAUCCUCCCCCCUCCGCCCCCAGCCCUCCCUCCUCCCGCGCUCCCCUCCCCCUCCGCCCCUCGCCGCCCCGCCGCCCGCCGCUCCCCAGUCAGCCUCCCCGAGGCCGCGCCGCCGCCCGCGCUCGCCCAGGACCGGCCCGCCGGGCUCCCCGGGGUGCGCCUGCCUCGGCCCCGCGCCCCGCGGGCUCGCCGGGACACCCCCUCCGGCUCGCGGCCCCGCCCGGCCCGGCCCCCGCCCAGCGCCCGGGAGCGCCGAGGAUGUGAGUCCUGCUCGCCGGCGCCGGAGCAGCAGCCACUCGCGCGCCGAGCCGGAGCGCAGCGCAGCGCAGCGCCGGGCGCUCGCCGGGUCGCUCGGGCGGGCGGCGCGCUCUCGCCCCAGCGGUGCCCCCCGGGCCCUCGCCGGCGCCACCGCCGCCGCAGCCCGCGGGCCGUCCCCGGCCGGCCGCCCCCGGCCCCAGCGCCGCUGA